RNAcentral lists this ribosomal RNA (670 nucleotides) under Tolypothrix sp. VNP. RNAcentral's name for it is "bacterial SSU rRNA". It matches the Rfam family "Bacterial small subunit ribosomal RNA", at positions 28 to 742 of the family's 1533-position model. The record is from RNAcentral. Lineage: Bacteria; Bacillati; Cyanobacteriota; Cyanophyceae; Nostocales; Tolypothrichaceae.
GAUGAACGCUGGCGGUAUGCUUAACACAUGCAAGUCGAACGGUCUCUUCGGAGAUAGUGGCGGACGGGUGAGUAACGCGUGAGAAUCUGGCUUUAGGUCGGGGACAACCACUGGAAACGGUGGCUAAUACCGGAUGUGCCGAGAGGUGAAAGAUUAAUUGCCUAAAGAUGAGCUCGCGUCUGAUUAGCUAGUUGGUAGUGUAAGAGACUACCAAGGCGACGAUCAGUAGCUGGUCUGAGAGGAUGAUCAGCCACACUGGGACUGAGACACGGCCCAGACUCCUACGGGAGGCAGCAGUGGGGAAUUUUCCGCAAUGGGCGAAAGCCUGACGGAGCAAUACCGCGUGAGGGAGGAAGGCUCUUGGGUUGUAAACCUCUUUUCUCAGGGAAGAACAAAAUGACGGUACCUGAGGAAUAAGCAUCGGCUAACUCCGUGCCAGCAGCCGCGGUAAUACGGAGGAUGCAAGCGUUAUCCGGAAUGAUUGGGCGUAAAGCGUCCGCAGGUGGCUGUGUAAGUCUGCUGUUAAAGAGUGAGGCUCAACCUCAUAAGAGCAGUGGAAACUACAUAGCUAGAGUACGUUCGGGGCAGAGGGAAUUCCUGGUGUAGCGGUGAAAUGCGUAGAGAUCAGGAAGAACACCGGUGGCGAAAGCGCUCUGCUAGGCCGUAACUG